UUGAACAUCUGGAGGACGGGCUCGCAGCCUUCCCUUGCCGCCUCGCAGAACGACGCACAAGGAGUGCGGAAGUCUGUGAGGACACGAGGACACCAGAGAAGGAAGGAACGGAAGGAGACGAGGAUGAAGACGAGUUAAAGAUGAAAGGGUGGAAAAGAGAGACGUCGACGGAUGAAAGAGAAGAAAGGAGUGAGUGCCAGGACGAGCAGCAGCAGCGCCGCCAACAGGCUGACAGUGGGAAUCAGGAUGUAGA
Molecule: long non-coding RNA, 253 nt
Organism: Solea senegalensis (Senegalese sole)
Lineage: Eukaryota; Metazoa; Chordata; Actinopteri; Pleuronectiformes; Soleidae
Exons: 3
Source: RefSeq, a predicted model, not a curated record